RNAcentral lists this ribosomal RNA (279 nucleotides) under uncultured bacterium. Its description in RNAcentral is "partial 16S ribosomal RNA". It matches the Rfam family "Bacterial small subunit ribosomal RNA", at positions 506 to 784 of the family's 1533-position model. The record is from RNAcentral.
UGCCAGCCGCCGCGGUAAUACGGAGGGUCCAAGCAUUAAUCGGAUUUACUGGGCGUAAAGAGCGCGUAGGCUGAAGUGAAAGUCAGAUGUGAAAGCCCGAAGCUCAACUUCGGAAUUGCAUCCGAAACUUCAUUUCUAGAGGAUAGACGGAGAAGACGGAAUUCCACGAGUAGCGGUGAAAUGCGUAGAUACGUGGAAGAACACCGGUGGCGAAGGCGACUUUCUGGCUCGUAACUGACGCUGAGGCACGAAAGCGUGGGGAGCAAACAGGAUUAGAUA